AUGUCUCAUGUAGAGGCUCAAGCAGAAGAGGGGGAGAAGAAGGGAAGAGUUGCAGCUGGAGCUCAGUUCACCUGGAUUGUUGCAAACUUUGCCCAUUGCCCUCAGGGUGCCGAUGAGGAUGUGGUGCAGACAUAUGUUCGUGUGUACAUGUGGUACGUUAUCAGGCGGACUUUGUUUGCUGACAGCACUGGCAAGAACACUCCAUGGAUGUGGCUGAAGGCGCUGACCAUCCUCGACAACAAAUGGAGUUGGGAUUCGUCGGCACUGGCCUACUUGUACCGACAGGUAGUUAGUUGUUUGCUUGCACUUUCUUUCAACAUUAUCAAUGCAUUUUUGUUCUUAAGUGAACCAUGUUUUCCUUUAUGUGUAGUUGGACGAUGCUUGCCGUAG
RNAcentral lists this ribosomal RNA (390 nucleotides) under Triticum aestivum (bread wheat). RNAcentral describes it as "partial small subunit ribosomal RNA". Lineage: Eukaryota; Viridiplantae; Streptophyta; Magnoliopsida; Poales; Poaceae. The record is from RNAcentral.